Molecule: unclassified non-coding RNA, 266 nt
Filed under: uncultured fungus
Lineage: Eukaryota; Fungi
Description: partial contains 5.8S ribosomal RNA, internal transcribed spacer 2, and large subunit ribosomal RNA
Source: RNAcentral
AACGCACAUUGCGCCCACCAGUAUUCUGAUGGGCAUGCCUGUCCGAGCGUCAUUUCAACCCUCAAGCCGUGGUUGCUUGGUGUUGGGGCCCUGCCGGCUUACGCGCAGGCCCCGAAAGCCAGUGGCGGGCGCGCCGCGACCCCGAGCGUAGUAGUUUACUGUUCUCGCUUAGGGUGUCCGGCGCUGUUUCCCGGCCGUUAAACAGCUCCUCUGGAGACUAUCACAAGGUUGACCUCGGAUCAGGUAGGAAUACCCGCUGAACUUAA